CUCAGAGACAGCAGUAACACCUUCUGGCUAUAGUCUAUUUUCAUCUUUCUCAUCCUAGUGUUAUCAAGAGAAAAACAGUCUUAGAUGCAACAUAAAAAUUUCAGAGACAGAAGAAAUCUUCCUUUGAGGGCAGUGAUACACUUAUGUGAGAUUUUGAAAAGUGAAAAAUCAAAGGUGGAAUUGACCAGUAGAUGUAAAAGUACAACAAAUAAACAAAAAUGGCAAUGUUGAAAGUGAAACUGAAAUUCAACAGAAAUAAAAGAAAUAGCAGACUGGGGGGAUAUUGACUUUGACACCAUGAUGCCAGAGGAACUUAGUGAUGGCAAACUUAUCAAUAUAAAAUGAGGAUAUUGGUUGUCAACUAGGUUGUGUGGUGGUCCUUGAUCUUGUCCAUCAAGUCCUUUUUCCCAAAGGAUAACUGAAGAAGAUCACAUACAUUCCAACUUAUUGAGUCUGAUAGGUAUUCAUCUGAUGAGCUCCUCUUCAACUGAGGAUUGAAAUGCUGUUUUUCUUCCCUGGUACAAUGUUAAAGCUUUAAACUCUUGUCAAUGAUGUGAUGUUUCAUCUGCAAUGAUCUACACUAGAAAAAUAAAAAUGUAGUUACUGACAAAAAAGCAGGAACUACUGCUCUAAGGAAAAAAGGACAGCUACAUGAGGACCACACAACUCCUGGAAGAGGUUUCCCUGGCAACACAACUUUUCCAUUCAUCUGGUUGCAGUGUUUUCAUCCAGUAGCCUGUCACCUCACUCAAAAGCAGGGCAAUGGAGAGAAAGAAACUUACCAAGUUUUUUCUUUUAACUAGAGAGUAGCCUACUUAUUGGGCCCUGCAAUUAAUUUCAGUACUCCAGGCAGAUUUAUAAAGGAAGCUGCUGGAAGGAAUUCAUUCCCUUUUUGCUGUUCUGCCUUCCACCUUCCACUGUGUGAGGACACUGCAAGAAAGCCCUCAUCAGACACCAACUGCCAGCACCUAGAUCUUGGAAUUCUCAGCCUCCAGAACUCUUUUACCAAUUUUGAGUAGAUUUUAAGGAAGAGAGAAACAGGCCACUUCAGAUUGGAAGCCCACACCUACUCCAGGCUGUUUUCCAACUGGAAAAUGAUGUGAUGGGCUCAGUGAGCCAGCCAGGAGUGUCACAGCUCUUUCAUUCAUGCCACCUGCAGCUUGGUGAGUUCCAGGUUCUUGUCCCGUGACCAAGAGGAAUAAGAUGCAUGGACACCAGAAAGUGUUCUUGGAAAAAGCACCAUUCAAUUGGUUAAAAAGCAUCAUCUAGAAGGAACCAAUUGCGAGACAGUGAGGAAGACAGAGAUAGAAGUUCUCACUCCAGUAAUUAACUCCAUCUGGAAGCAUCAGCUUGGUUUUCAGGCUUUAAACAGUUUUUGGUUUGAAGGUUGGGUAUCAAUGGAGACCUGCUUCUGUCUGCCUAGGAAUUUGUCUGUCUCCUGUCACUAUCACAAUAAGACAGGCUUGAUCUUGGCUAGGGUACACUUUUCCCUGGACAGGGUUUGAGUGGGAACUCGAUUGGGAAUGUUGAUCUUUGCAUGCCAUGCCCCCAACAAUUCUUAAUGACAUCUGCCUUUACCAUUUCUCCUGCUGUUAAGUAGUUAUAUCUCUUCACAAACCACGGGCCUCAGCUACUGGGGCCAGCAGUGAGCACUUGACCCCAAACAACUGAUCCCCAGGCUGAUGAGACCAUCUAAUGACCACUGUGGGUUCUGGUUCAAAAUGAUGAGUUUAAAAAAUAGUUUUCUCUCUUAGAAUUUUGAAUGGGAGUAGGAAUAGUGGCAGUAUGCUGAAAUUGAAGCACUACACUUGUUCAAGGUAAGCAAUAAGGGUAAAAAGGAGAGGUUGUGUUGCCUAGUGCAGCAAGGAGAAGGAAGUCAGUCCACAAAGAAAAGCAAUGUAAAAGAGACAUCCUCCUAAUUAAGUUUAAAAAAAAAAAUUUCCUCUAAGACCAUUUAGGUGACUUUCUAUGUUUCACCAUUUAUAUCCAAGUCAAAGAAACACUGUUGAAAUGUCCCCGAUGAAUUUUGUUUUUCUAUUUUUUAUUGCUUACGAAUGCAUGUUUGUGAUAGACACAUUAUCUUUAUAUGUUAACAUCAAGUUUUCUUCCAACUCAGUUAUCCUUUCUUUCUCAACAAAACUUGGCAUUAUUUUAUCACAGGUUUAAUUUACGAGAUAACUUGAAGGGCAACCGAGUUUCUCUUAUUUCCAUGUUCCUCAGUGACUGUAUCUCAUAGUCUUCUCUCAAUUUGCCUAUAGGAUAUAUUUAAAGUUACCAAUGCUUCAAUAUUUAUUUGUUCAUUUGUAACUUAGCAUUUACUUUAAGUACAGUUUGAUACAAUACUUAACUUUAAACCAGAAAUGCAUUUAAACAAUCUAUAUUUUGAAAAUAAUUUUAUCUCCUUUUUUUUUUUUGGAGACAGAGUCUUGGUCUGUUACCCAGGCUGGAGUACAGUGGUGCAAUCUCAGCUCACUGCAACCUUUACCUCCUGGGUUCAAGCGAUUCUCCUGCCUCAGCCUCCCAAGUAGUUGGGAUUACAGGCAUAUGUCUGCUAAUUUUUUUUUUUAUUUUAUUUUAGUAGAGAUGGUGUUUAGUAGAGAUGGCCUCCUGGCCUCAAGUGAUGCACCCCCUUUAGCCUCCCAAAGUGCUGGGAUUACAGGCAUGAGCAACUUCACCUGGCUUCAUAAUUUAUUCUUAUGUAAUUUAUACGUUUUGUACUUACAUGAACUUUUAAACUUUUAACAACAUUUCAAUAUUUAAUAUGCUAUGAAAGUUAAAAUUUAAAAAAAUCAAAAUGCAUCCAUGCAGUUUAUCAGAUGUAAAUAUAGGAACUUGAAAAUGCAGUUAAUGCUUUUACAGAUUAUAAUCAAUUGUUGUUUUACCAGUUACUUUUAAUUUUAUAAAAUUUAAAGCUCAUGAAAGCCUAACAACAUAUAUUUGUCACAAAGUAGUUUUACUUAUUUUUCAAAGAAAUAGUAUGAAUGCAGAAAUGGAUUUCACUACAAAAGUGUCAAAUUUUUUUUCAGUAAUUGGAGUCAUAAGUCAUUUUUAGCCAUCUUACUCCCUUUGAAUUGGUGCUUUUAUGUUGCCUAAGAAUAUGUUGAUACAUUUUCAUUGCCUAAAUUUGGUUGAAGAAUGCUGCGUGUAUAAAGACAAGCUACCACCUGAAAUUCUCAGGUCAACAUUUAAAUUUAAAGGUCUUUUUUAUUGUUGGCUGUUGUGCUAAAUCUUAACCAUAUAGCAAAUCUGAAGUAGCAAUCCAAUCUAUAUUAAAAAACUAAAUAACACUUGAUAUGAUUUGGCUGUGUUGCCACCCAAAUCUUAUCUUGAAUUCUCAUGUAUUGUAGGAGGGACCCAGUGGGAGGUAAUUAAAUCAUGGGGGCAGGUUUUUCCCAUGCUGUUCUCAUGACGAAGUCUCACAAGAUCUGUGGGUUUUAAAAAUGGGACUUUCCCCUCACAAGCUCUCUCUCUGUUUGCCUGCUGCCAUCCAUGUAAGACGUGACUUGCUCUGCCUUGCCUUCCAUCAUGAUUGUGAGGACUCUCCAGCCACAUGCAACUGUAAGUCCAUUAAACCUCUUUCUUUUGUAUAUUUCCCAGUCUGGAGUAUGUGUUUAUGAGCAGUAUGAAAAUGGACUAAUACAAUACCUUAGUACAUGGAUUAAGUUAAAAUUAAAAAGAAAUUUUCAGAUCUUAUUUUCUAGAUAUUUAAAUAUUUAGUAUAAAAAGUUAUUGUAAUGUAAUUGAUAACUAAGGUUUAUCUUCCAGAAUGCCAAUAGAACCCUCAAUAAGAUGACAUGUUUAUAAUUUCCUUCCUGUCAUCAAUGUUAUAUAUCUCCUUUUAGCAUCUACAGGU
This 3853-nucleotide long non-coding RNA is filed under the name Homo sapiens (human). Its description in RNAcentral is "HSALNT0045309". Lineage: Eukaryota; Metazoa; Chordata; Mammalia; Primates; Hominidae. The record is from RNAcentral.